GUAAAGAGCUCGUAGGUGGUUUGUCGCGUUGUUCGUGAAAUCUCACGGCUUAACUGUGAGCGUGCGGGCGAUACGGGCAGACUUGAGUACUGCAGGGGAGACUGGAAUUCCUGGUGUAGCGGUGGAAUGCGCAGAUAUCAGGAGGAACACCGGUGGCGAAGGCGGGUCUCUGGGCAGUAACUGACGCUGAGGAGCGAAAGCGUGGGGAGCGAACAGGAUUAGAUGCCCUGGUAGUCCACGCCGUAAACGGUGGGUACUAGGUGUGGGUUCCCUUCCUUGGGAUCCGUGCCGUAGCUAACGCAUUAAGUACCCCGCCUGGGGAGUACGGCCGCAAGGCUAAAACUCAAAGAAAUUGACGGGGGCCCGCACAAGCGGCGGAGCAUGUGGAUUAAUUCGAUGCAACGCGAAGAACCUUACCUGGGUUUGACAUGCACAGGACGCCGGCAGAGAUGUCGGUUCCCUUGUGGCCUGUGUGCAGGUGGUGCAUGGCUGUCGUCAGCUCGUGUCGUGAGAUGUUGGGUUAAGUCCCGCAACGAGCGCAACCCUUGUCUCAUGUUGCCAGCGGGUAAUGCCGGGGACUCGUGAGAGACUGCCGGGGUCAACUCGGAGGAAGGUGGGGAUGACGUCAAGUCAUCAUGCCCCUUAUGUCCAGGGCUUCACACAUGCUACAAUGGCCGGUACAAAGGGCUGCGAUGCCGCGAGGUUAAGCGAAUCCUUUUAAAGCCGGUCUCAGUUCGGAUCGGGGUCUGCAACUCGACCC
RNAcentral lists this ribosomal RNA (760 nucleotides) under uncultured Mycobacterium sp. RNAcentral describes it as "bacterial SSU rRNA". It matches the Rfam family "Bacterial small subunit ribosomal RNA", at positions 560 to 1318 of the family's 1533-position model. Lineage: Bacteria; Bacillati; Actinomycetota; Actinomycetes; Mycobacteriales; Mycobacteriaceae. The record is from RNAcentral.